ACAAACUAAAAUGGCUUCAAACAGAGGGUAUUGUGUAUGUGGACAAGUCAAUGAAGAGACGGGUUUUAUGAUCCAAUGUGAUGUUUGCAGAGAUUGGUUCCACGGGAACUGUGUAGAUGUUAAGGAACAUGAGUCAGUUGAUAUUGAGAAAUACCACUGUCCAGCCUGUGAGGAAGCUCAUGGACCCUCUGUCUAUAAAGAAAGGAAGAAUUGGCAUAGACAUGAUUACACAGAUGCUGAAGCUGAAGGGAAGGCUAUUCAAACUGGAACACCAGUGUUUAUCCAUGAACUGAAACAAAGGCACUUUCGGAGUGCAGAUGAAGUUAUAGUGAAGCUGAGAGGCCAACAGUUGACGUUACCAUACCUUAUGCAGAAUGGGUUUGAAUGGCCCAUACUGGUUGAAAGCAAGGAAGGUCUUGAUCUUGUUAUGCCUCCAGAGAACUUUACCAUUUAUGAUAUUUGUGAUUAUGUUGGUGAAGAUGUACAUUUGGAUGUGAUUGAUGUAAUGAAACAAGAGGGAGAUAUUAAGAUGACAAUGAAGGAGUGGGCAGAUUAUUUUGAAAACCCUGAUAGAAGUAGAGUGUACAAUGUUAUAAGCCUGGAAUUUUCCAAAACAAGGCUGUCUGAAUUUGUUACUCCACCAUCUAUUGUGAGGAAGAUAAGCUGGGUAGAGACAUGCUGGCCAACCAAUCUUCCUGAAGAUUGUCCUUAUUCUCGACCAGCUGUUAUGAAGUAUUGCUUGAUGGGAACAAAAGAUAGUUAUACAGAUUUCCAUAUUGAUUUUGGUGGGACCUCAGUUUGGUAUCACAUCCUUAAGGGUGAAAAAAUUUUCUACCUCAUUCGACCUACUCCAGCAAAUGUUUCACUGUAUGAACGAUGGAUGUCAUCUGCCAAUCAAAGCGAGAUGUUUUUUGGGGACCAGGUUGAUUCCUGUUAUAAACUAAUUCUAGAAAAAGGAAGUACACUUUUUAUACCAGCAGGGUGGAUUCAUGCUGUACUGACAUCAAAAGAUUCAUUGGUGUUUGGAGGAAAUUUUCUCAAUACUUUUAAUAUACCAUUACAGUUACAAGUCUAUGAAACUGAACAGAGGAUAAAAACCCCACACAAGUAUCGGUUUCCAUGGUUUGAAACAACACACUGGUUUGCUGCAGAGCUUGUUCUCCAACAGCUAAGGGAGAUUAACCAAGGAGAAAGAAAAGCUCCUCAUUACAAUGUAGCCGGAGCAAAAUCUUUAAUUACAGCAUUAAAAGUCUGGAGUCAAGGCACAGAGGUUAAAGGUAGAAGUCAUGAGGAUAUUCCUGAUGGAAUUGAUGCUGCCAAGUUGAUAAAAGGGCUUUCCAGAGAAGUCAGAAUAGUUGAAAAGAGGCAAGCUAUUAACAAGAUAGUGAAAGAAGAUAAGAAGCCUGUAAGACUAAGAAAACAACUGCAUUCUGUGACAGGGAGUAGCCUAGAUACAGAUUUAAAAGCUGUCAUCCCAAAACAUGAGAUAUCAAAAUUGGGUGAUGAAAACAAAGUAGUCACUUCUCUGAAACUGUCACUGAAGUCCAAGUUAUCCUCUCAGGAAUCCAGUACAGAAAUGAUCUCUUCCUCAAAUCCAUCACAAUCUUCAAUAAAGCUAUGUAUACCAAAGUCUGCAGUGACAGCUUGCCCUGGAAAAGGGAGAGCACGUGCACCAAGAAAGGAUCUCAAAAAUAAUUUCUCAAAACAGAAUUCUCAAGAAAAUAAAGCAAAAAAAGGGAAACCCCUAAAAUUGAAGGUUUCGUGUGGGAAAGUAGUAAGUGAAGAGAAGAAACCCAUACAAGAGGUAAAGAACACAUCUGUUUACGACUUUGUAGAUUCUGAAGAUGAUGCAUUAGUUGUUGAUGAAAAUCCACGUCUUCCUCCGAAACGGCCAAAAGCUUCAGCUGUAAAAAGAAAACCUCCUGGGGUAACAAAACAGAACAAUUUAAAAAGCGAGCCAUUAAAGCUAAGAUUAUCUUUUAAUGGUAAAGCAACAUCAGAGAAGCCAUCCAUAGGUUCAUCCUUCUCUUCUUCAGAACAAGACAAGGAACUAAGUGACUGUACGUCCCCUGGACCAAAGAAUGCCACUAUUGAUGACUUGUUAUUGGCUAGUGCUUACACAGGUGAUCCAGACAACACCAGAGUUAGUCUGGAGGAGGAACUAAGCGGAGGACGCACUUCUCCGUCCACCAGAGAAGCUAUUCAGGGAAUGUUAUCCAUGAGCAAAAGUGUCUUUACCUUUGACUCAACUUUGAAUCAAGCAGGGGACUCUGUAAGUGCUACGAUAAACAGUGGAGAAACUGGCUUAACAUCAGAAACUGGGCUUGGAAGCUUGACAGACAUCCGAGCCACUAACAUGUCUAUUCUAGUCAAUAGGCCACUUCACAUUGAUGCUGGUAAAUCAGUAGUGAGCCACAACAGAUUGAUCAGGAGAAAAUAUCCUGAUGAGGAAGAUGAUGAGGAGUUUGAAGAAAGUUUAAAAAACUGUCCAGAAGAUGGGGAUUUCAUUUAUUUAGGGUUUGAAGCUACUGAUGAAGAGGGUUAUAUUUUCAAACGUCGCGGAAGAAGAAAACCAGAUGAAGCUUGGAAUCCUAAAGCUAAAUUAGUACCAAAUUGUCCCAAGCCAGAACGGCCAGUUCGAGAAGGUGUGAGAAAAGAAGUGGUUGAAUCAGGAAUAGCUGCAGCUGCUGCGAAGCUAGCUAACUUACCACCUCAGAAACGUUCAUAUAACAAGAAGAAAGUCAUCCACCCUAAAAGUAAAGAAGAGCAUUUGUUCAAUCCUCAGCCUGGUCCUUCUCAUCUCACGGACUUUUCCUUAAAAAGACCAGCUUCAGUGGAGAUGCUGUCUAAAGUUAAAAACCUAAAAAAGGAUUUGCUACAGCCAAGCAGAGAUUAGGAAAAAUCUUGAAAAUCCAUAAAAUGUUACACUGACCAUCUGUUUUCUAGUGAAUUCACCAGUUUAUGAUCAGAGUACCUGGAAUGUUCCCCUGACCGUGUUGAUCUGUUUUAGUAACUGAUCGUGUGAAAAAUGGAAGACUUUGACUCUCAGGGAAACUAAGGAGCAUGCAGACUGCAUGACCUUUACCACAUCAACUUGCCUUGUUAUUAAUUUAGUAGCUCUGUUGUAGGCCUGUUGCUUUUGUUUCAGACACUUUCGUUAUCAGUCUGAUACUGUAACAACAUUUGAUGGUGUUGACGAUAAGUCACCCAUUCAAUUUAAAUUUUAUUGCACAAAUCUGUUUAGUAAGUUAAAAUUGGUAACAUGUUUUUCGUACAUUUAGAAAUGUUAACUCCACACAUCUUUUUACUGGUAAGAUGCCAAUUGAGAUACACCAUUAAACUUAUGAACACCAUUUGAUAUUUUUCUACUAGGUUCUAAACAGUAACUAAGGAGAUCAGAAUAUGAGCAAUUUUUAUUAUUGUACAACAGUAAAGAUUAAUAUUCUAUUAGCUAAACAAGUAUCAGCCUUGUUAUUACAGGUGUUUUGUAGUACAGAUAAUUCUUUAUUAGAUACAUUUAAUACAUCAUCAUUACCAGUUGUUGAAUAGAAACUGAGAUAAACUAUUAUUAAAAAUUAGUUAAUGAAAUUUCUUCAAUUGGUUCAGAGGUAUUAUAAAAUUUUGUAGUACUGUACAUAAGCAUUUGACUAAUAUUUCUGAGUUUACCGCUUUAACUAGAAUGGGAGAUAUCAGUGCAAUCAUUAAAUCUCAAUGAAGAUUGAUAUCUCGGUGAUAGACAACUAGAAAUUUUGAUUCAUCGGUAAUUAAUAUCAGCUGUACUGUUAAAUAGUAAUAGAAGGUUCAUCCCUUUUGUUUGGUUUUAGCAAAAGGAAAGCCUGUUUAUGGUUUUUAGAACAUUAAGUAUUCAAACAGAUGAAUGUGCUUUGAAAUCUUGCUGUUUUGUCUACUUAAUUACUUCAUAGAACAGAUUCGUUCUUUUGUAUGGUGAAAUCUUGUAUGACUACAGUGUUUAAUAUCUAUUUAAUUUUCUUACAUAUAGUAAUUAGUGUGGAUUGUUUUUAACAUCUGUGGUUUAAUGGUUUUAUAUUAUAGAUGUUUUGCAAAGAAGAAUAAAGUAUGCAUUGUGUUUGAUAUGAAAAAAGACAAUCAUUUUGAGAAGAUGUAUAAAGUUGAGCUUGGUGAUAGUAUUCUGUGUAAGGUCAAACAACAUUAUUAAACACAUUGAGAUACAUUCAGCAUCUCUUUAGUUUAAUUAGUGCUUUUCUACUUUCGAUAUUUGGUUUAUUGGCCCAUUAGCAUUAUGUUUUUACAACCUCUAGGUUUUAAUCAAAGCUUUAGUCAGUCAACAUUACUUAAUGUCCAAAUAACACAACAUCAUGGUCAGGAGCAUUGCUAUAGAAUUACAAUCUUAGACAAGACAUAUGUUUGUAAAAAUAGUAAAUGCAUGAAUAGUCACUCAUUGAUGAAAAAUUCAAGUACUAAUGUAUAUAUAUACAUAUUUUAAAGGCAGAUAAAACUUGUAUGCAAGUUAUUCACACACAUACAUUUAUAUUUGUGACCUCCCACACAUAUAAAUCAGUAAUUUUAUCACAUCUUUGGUCUUUUUCUUAUGACUCACUAUGUAGUUAUAAUUUUGAACUAAGUGAAUUAUAAAGGUGUUUGAAAUACAGAAGCUAAAAUAGAACAUAUUAUUAAGGACAGUGUGUUUGGAGGAGAAGGAUGGGAUAAGUUAGUGUUGCCCUUCUACAGAUCGACAUGUAACCCUACAUCACUCCUCAUUAUAACUUCCAAACUAAUUACAGUAGAUCAUAUGGUGAUAAUAUGCUGGUGCUUUGACUUUAAAUACAUAUAUUUGAUAUGUACCCUGAUCAAAGGAUUUGCCAGCACAGUUAUUAAAAUAUUAGUCAACAAGACUCUCUAAACGUUUUCUUUACACUGAAAGAACUUUGCUAGUGAACAGACAUCUCACAUCUCUUGUUACUUGUUAUAAUAUUAUAAGCUUCCCACACUAAAUGAUAGUUUCUUUCUUAUAUCAACAACUUAUUACCUACAUUUGCAGAUUAAGAAGUAUUGACUUAAGUAUGCAUGCAAUUGAUAAUGCUUGGAGAUGGCUUGAAUGGGUAAUGAAGAAAAACUUUAAAAUAAGUUUAACAUAACAGCAAAUGUACAACAUUUCUACAAGGUUUUGUCAUCAUCAGGUACUAGUAGUUUACACUGACAUAUAUAUAUAUAUGUAUAUAUACAGUAUGGAACAAAGAGGUCACAUGACCAAAUACUAUUGCAAGACUUAGAGGAGAUACCUUGGCACUCCAGGGUGUUGGUUUAGUAGUAGGGUUGUUUUGUUCAAUUAAGAUAGAU
RNAcentral lists this unclassified non-coding RNA (5319 nucleotides) under Limulus polyphemus (Atlantic horseshoe crab). RNAcentral's name for it is "histone lysine demethylase PHF8-like, transcript variant X1". Lineage: Eukaryota; Metazoa; Arthropoda; Merostomata; Xiphosura; Limulidae. The record is from RNAcentral.